Molecule: ribosomal RNA, 327 nt
Filed under: uncultured eukaryote
Lineage: Eukaryota
Description: partial 18S ribosomal RNA
Rfam family: Eukaryotic small subunit ribosomal RNA
Source: RNAcentral
CCCUUAGAUGUCCUGGCCGCACGCGCGUUACACUGAUGCAUUCAACGAGCUUAUAACCUUGGCCGAGAGGCCUGGGCAAUCUUGUUAACGUGCAUCGUGAUAGGGAUAGAUUAUUGAAAUUAUUAAUCUUGAACGAGGAAUUCCUAGUAAACGCAGAUCAUCAAUCUGCAUUGAUUACGUCCCUGCCCUUUGUACACACCGCCCGUCGCACCUACCGAUUGGAUGGUCCGGUGAAGCCUCGGGAUUGUGGUUCUUGCCGCUUUAUUGUGGCGUGACCGCGAGAACUUGUCUAAACCUUAUCAUCUAGAGGAAGGUGAAGUCGUAACA